Pelobates cultripes (western spadefoot toad) is the source of this 1318-nucleotide non-coding RNA. The record is from the annotation of a GenBank genome assembly. NCBI's taxonomy places the organism in Eukaryota, Metazoa, Chordata, Amphibia, Anura, Pelobatidae.
CCUGCGUGAGGGCGCCGCUCUUUGUCCGCAGCUUAGUGAUCUGGUUCACGCGGCGUUGUUGUCUCAGCAUUCUGGCUAGCAUACGACCGCAUUUGUUGGAGUGUUCAUAGUAAUAGCGAUGGGCUUUUUUCAUCGUAUAGGCGAGGUUUUUCGUGAGCAGAUGUUGUAGGUCUCGGCGGGCCUCUCGGAGCGCAUGGUACGCCUCUUCUGUCGGUGCGGCUUUGUGGUCUUGUUCUAAGCUGGCGACUUUCGUAUAUAGCUCUUGUAGCUGCCUACUGUGUUCUUUCUUCCGCGUUGUACAUACCUUGAUGAAAUGUCCCCGAAUGACGCACUUAUGGGCCUCCCACCGAAUCAUUGGGGAGGUGUCAGACGGAUCAUUCUCAUUGAAGUAAUGACGGAGCGCUGUCGUAGCGUCCGCUAUGGUGACCGGGUCGCUAAGUAGUUGUUCAUUCAGUUUCCAUUGGCGUCUUGUGGGUUUAUGCAGAGGCGAGGUCAGCUGGGCCAGUACCGGUGAGUGGUCCGACCAAGCGUCCAGUAGGAUUUCACAUUUUUGUAAUAGAUUCAGGUAUUCUUGUGCAAUAAAGACAUAGUCUAAGCGGCUGUAGCCGCGGUGCACCGGGGAGAAGUAUGUGAAAUCCUUGGCCUCUGGGUGCAUGACUCUCCAGCAAUCCGCAAGGCCCGCCGUUCUGAGUGCCAAUUGUGCCGCUUUGAUGCUUGCGUCCGGCAGCGAGCAGCGUCCCCGGGAGGUGUCCGUCCGCGGAUCCAAUGGUAUGUUGAGGUCCCCGGUUAGAAUUAGGAGCCCCUCCCUGAAGUGUUCCAGCGAUUUUAGGGUUCUGGUGAGAAAACUGUGUUGUCGGGUGUUGGGCGCAUAUAUGGAGGCAAAGGUGUAGCGCCUGUCUGCAAUGGAGCCCUUGAGGAAGAUGUAGCGUCCCAGUGGGUCGGCCUUGACCUCCGCACACACGAAGGGGACAUGCGCGGCGAAGAGAAUGGCCACUCCUGCCUUCUUGGCUUCCCUAUGGUUAGCAAAAUAUCCAGUGGGGAACCGUCGGUCUCGGAGGGCCGGUCCCGUCUGUCCGCGGAAGUGUGUCUCCUGGAUGAAGGCCACAGAGAUUCUAUUGGACCAAAGUGCCCGUAGUAAAUGUGAUCUCCGUUCUGGCAGGUUCAGGCCCCGGACGUUGUUGGACCAGAUGCGCAGAGGCGCCGGGGCGAACCCCUCUCGGCCCCGGGAGGUCAUGAGAGCUGGUGCCGCCGCGCAGGGGCGGGCGGCGAGGUGUCAGGGGCGGGAGAAAAGAGAAGAAGAAGGAGGGAGAGAGAGAGA